This is a non-coding RNA of Salvelinus sp. IW2-2015, 254 nucleotides long. NCBI's taxonomy places the organism in Eukaryota, Metazoa, Chordata, Actinopteri, Salmoniformes, Salmonidae. The record is from RefSeq and is a predicted model, not a curated record.
CUGUGGUGGGACAACAGAUUUCCACAGAGUUGGACAGCUUUUCACUCUCUCCUUCGCUCCCCAGACCACCCAAUCACAAUGUCCCCCUGAGCAUCAAGCCCCCAGGUGUCCCGCCCAGCUCCUCGGCUGAUUGGCUGAGGAACCAUGGACUGAAAGCUAAGAGACUGGGGCUGUACCAGGUUCUGUCUCCCAAUGCCUAUUCUCUACUGGAGGGGUUUGUUCCUAUCCUGAACAAGACUGUCAGCUCAACAGUC